Molecule: ribosomal RNA, 229 nt
Filed under: uncultured bacterium
Lineage: Bacteria
Description: partial 16S ribosomal RNA
Rfam family: Bacterial small subunit ribosomal RNA
Source: RNAcentral
UCCGUAGGUGGAAAAUUAAGUCAGAGGUGAAAUCCUGCAGCUCAACUGUAGAAUUGCCUUUGAUACUGGUUAUCUUGAGUCAUUAUGAAGUGGUUAGAAUGUGUAGUGUAGCGGUGAAAUGCAUAGAUAUUACACAGAAUACCGAUUGCGAAGGCAGAUCACUAAUAAUGUACUGACACUGAGGGACGAAAGCGUGGGGAGCGAACAGGAUUAGAUACCCUGGUAGUCC